ACAAAUCGUGUUUAUGCAAUCCUAACCUUAUCUAAAUCCAGCAUGACAACCACCAUUUGUACCACCACACAGGGCGCAUCGAAUCGGAACACGACCGAAAAACCACCUACAACAAACAAGACAUCGAAAUAAACAAAUAACGACACAAAAUAGGAAACACCAGCACCAAACAACUAUAGAGACAUUAUUAAACAAACUGAAUGGCAUUGCCCAACACCCACAUCAAACAAUGCAUCGAUGCCCCCCAGGGCACAUCCCAACUAGCAAAAAUGAGGGCGCUUCAAGGCUGGCAGAUCAGAGGUCGUGAGUUCGAUUCCUGAAAAGCUCUUGGAAGGCAGAUAUUCUCCUGAAAGUCAGGAUUUAUCUUGGAAGGCGGGAGCUCUACUGGAAGGCAAUGUGCAAAGAUGGGAAACGACUUGUUUGGCAUUUUGGCAGAUCAGUUGGGGGGCUCUUGAGCACUAGUCAGUUUAGGGCACAACCUGCGGUUUAACCUGUCUGCAGCUUGAGGGGCCAAGGUGUAAACUCCAAGAUUUAGUCACUGUAAUGUAGAUAUCUGGAUAUAAAUAAAAUAAAAAAAAAACAAUGCAUCCAUCGGCAUUAUCUCAAAAUACCACACCGAGAUUACCACACCACCACUGUCUAUUCAUCUUACAGCAUCAAUCACCACUACCAACAACAAUCACCUAAAUCCCCAAUUACUACCCCCACCUUUACCUCAAAUUAACAACAAUCACCCUCGCCGAAUUGAAACCCACGAUAUGCAGCCACAUUAUAAUUUCACACUGCCAUCUCUAUUGCUGACUCUUUGCCUAAAUCUCCCACCUUCGUUGUUAGCUCUGUUCCCAUCAAGGCUAUAAUUUUUGGGUAGUGAUGCCAAACCUAGCUGAACCAAACCAACCUCAAAC
RNAcentral lists this long non-coding RNA (905 nucleotides) under Olea europaea (common olive). Its description in RNAcentral is "long non-coding RNA (OEUR_LNC001851)". The record is from RNAcentral. Lineage: Eukaryota; Viridiplantae; Streptophyta; Magnoliopsida; Lamiales; Oleaceae.